ACAAGCUCGAGGCUUGGCCCACACAGCCUGCAGAACUAGGGAGCGCGGAAGACACCAUCUCACGGACACAGAAGGGGCCCUGGGCCCAGAGAAGACCUUCGCACACUGCAAGGUAACGCCUUCCAAUUCCCCUGUGUGAAUUAGGCUGUUCCUCUGGGGCACCACUGACUUCCAGAUGUGGGGUGAGCUGCGACCGAGGUGUUUAUAAAAAGAUAUUCCCCGCUCCACCCCCACCCCCGGAGCUAUGUGCUGUGUUCUCUGCACAUUUGAAUUUGUCUGCCAUGGUUAUUCUAUUUCUUCAGAAAGCCUGAGAAAACUGGAGUCUUUGCUAAAGCUUCUUCUCUCCCCAGAGGAAGGAAAGGAUGAGGCUAGGGAGGAGUCUACACCUGGAGGUGGCGUGGAUUUUUAGUUCCGGCCUUGGAGGAGCUGUGUAGGAAGCCAUUUCCGGUUUAACGAUGGCCUGACUUCACAAUAAACACCAAGAUUCCACCAUUAGGAUACUUAGAAUUUGAAGGUUCAUUUGACCAGGAAUCCUCCCCUCCCCAUGCUUGGGAGCAGGCACAGCCCCAAGGCUCACUCUAUUUUGUUCCUCUACUCCUGAAACACCAGCAUCGGACUUGUUUCUCUGUCCCCCUGGUAUUGGUCCCUCGACAGCACUGGAAAUAGCUGGACAACCGCACAGAAAUGAAACCAGUUCCUAGGAAUCCCCCAGCCUCAGCAACUCUCUUUAAAAAGGGUCCGUUGAGACCCCAGCUUGGCUGAGAAUUUGCCCCAGGAUCCCCUCUUGGCUGGAGGUAAUGGUGUAACAGAUGUGGCAUAAGCUUUCCAGAUUUCCCCUUCUAGCUGAAUUUCAAUCAGAAAAGAAAGACUUCCCUGCUCCCUAUUGAGGAGAACAUUCUAUUUUAAAAUUUUCAUGUGCUUUCAAAAUGACAAGACUCAGGCAUAUGCUACUGACUUGCUUUGUCUUCUAGACUAUAAUAGCCUCUAAGAAUCAAACGGAUGCAUUUAACACAUCUAACUGCAAUGACAGAAAAUGUGGAUUUGGAAUUAAGAAAAAGCACAUCCAUUUAUCAUUUGCUUUUUAAGAAUCUUUUUUAGGUGCUGAAGGGUUAGGUUGGCAGCAAAGUGACACUUCACUUCCCCAAAGCAUUCUUUUCUCAGCCCUCUGGAGGUGGCCCUAGAAUGUUCUCAGACCCUGGGAAACAAAAUCUGAAAGCGAAGAUGAGCUGCUUGUGCCCCGAUCUGACCUGAGAUAGCAUAGGGAGUUUUAUGAUGUUCUUGGUACUUGCGAAUCUGAAAUAUCUUCCGAGGAGCUGUGAUGCACACGGAACACUCACAAGGUUGGUGACUUCACUGGAGGGUUAGGCUUUGUAAAAUCUUCGUCCUUAAUGAACUCCCCCCUCCCCAUUUAUGAAAGGAAACCCCUGGCUUUAAAAGAGGAGCAAAUCCAGUCUCUCCUGUUUUGCAUCCCCACAGGCUCAAUGGGAAAACUGCAUUCUGAAUUGACCGCUGCAACUAGAACCAUCUAGAGAUUCCAUCUAGGUUGGGAAGGUGAGGGAAGGGAGCUUGGGACCCUGCAGAGAAAUUUCAUUUUAAUAAACAGCCAUUAGGAAUCCCUUGGACUCAAGCUCUCUCAGGAAAUGUCAGGAAGUAAAGCACAAAGAGAGAUUGUGGGAGAUUUAUGUGGAUGAGAACAGAGGAGAGAAAUUAAACAGGAUCCCCCAAGACCUUUUCUAGCUGUAGAAAACUGCUGGCAUCUGGACACAUCACCCUGGAUUUAUAGCCAAGCUUCUUGCCUUAAGCAUUAAUUUUUUUCACAGGAAAUAACAGGUGUAAUUAUUUUCCAACCAGCUUAUAAACUUUCUGGGUUUUAUUAACUGAUGCUAUAUAGGUUUGAUUGUUCAAUUUGAAAAUAUGAAAGAUUUCUUUUUAACCUGAAUGAGAAAUGACUAUGCACAGUUUUAAAAAUAUAUCCAAGUAGAUCCUGGCAUUAACUACUUCUGAUUUUUUAAAUUAGUGAUACAUUAUUGGACAGCAUUUGAAAAAAAUGAAAACGUUUUACUUGCCUGUUUUAACUACUUUGCAGGUUGACAUAAUUUAACCACUCUUGCAAAAACAAUCAAAGAAGAAAUAAAAGAUGAUGGCUGUUAUAUUUUCAAAUUGUUCACAAGGCCAAGAACAUAAUAGGCACUCAAUAAAUGUUUCUUGAUUGAUGCAAUAAUACCAUAAAAUAAUUGCAGUGCAUUAUAAAGUAUUUCACUAGUGAUUUGCUAGGAAAUUAGCCUGCGGCCUAUCUGUCAGUACAGCACUAACUUUUCAAGCUUGUUGACAAGCAGAGUAGGAAAAGGGUAAAUUUUAACCUAAUUUUAUAAGGGUGUUUUGCAAGAAGGAAUUUCUAUUAGGAAAUCUCCACAAAGCUGCUUAAAACUGUUUACAUUCUAGAGUUCCCACUGUGGUAAUGGGUUAAGGAUCUGACUGCAGCAGCUUGCAUCGUUUCAGAGGGGUGGGUUCCAGGAACUUCCAUUGGCUGUGGGAAUGGCCAAAAAAAAUGUUUGCUUUCUAAUUAUUUUUCUCAUUACAAAAGCAUUACAUUAAUGGUAGAAAUGAAUAAAUACAGAGAAGCAAAAGGAGAAAAAAAAACCAAAACAUAAUUCCACCACUCAAAGAUAACCAUGGCUAAGAGUUGAUGUUUUUGCCCCUGGCAUUUGUAUCAUUUUUCACAGAAAGAGGCUCAUACUGUGUAUAUUGUUUUGUAAACGACUUCUUCAUUCAAUAACAGCUCUUGAAUCUCUUUCCAAGUCAAUAACCACUUUUCUACAAUAUCACCUUAAAGGACCGGAGUGUGUCAUAAUUAUGUCACACUUCCCAUAAUUGGACAUUUUGCUUGCAGUCUUCCCUGUUAUAAACCAUGCCUCUGUGGACAGUGUGACUAGGUAAACCUUUCUACAAAUGGGUAGCAAAGAAAAUCUUUUCCACAAAUUCAAGGACUUCUUCUUCGCCGUGCGUUUCUUAGACCAAAGAAAUAAGAGUUUUAUUGGGGGAGGGGUUUGGUAAGAUUUACCGUUAAUGCAUUAACUGCUUCUUCUCUUUUCUUUUUUUCCUCCAUUUACGCUUCCUUCCUUUUCCUGUCUUUUGCAGAGUAAUGAAAGCCUGAAGCAUCCAGGGCCUCCCUGGAGCAGCAGAGGGGAGCUCAGACGCCGCGAUGAGAUUCUGGGAAGUGAAAUGGGCUCAAGAUCUCGACCACUAGAGAGCUCUCCAAGCAUGCCCUACCAGGACCUUUGUCACUGGUGAACUGUUUCCUCCCCAAGAUUCUUUCCAGCUGAGCUAAGAGAUUUCUGGAGCCUCUCGCCAUGGUCAGAACAUCUCUUGAAUGACCAGGAAAUGGGGCUUCCUGUUUAAAUCUCUCGGGCAGAGACAAGGCAGAUGAGCCUGCCUAAGUCUUUAGAAAGAGCUGUAGGGAAGGCCAGAGAUGGCUCAUCAUGCCAAGAUGUCCACUGUGGCCGCACCCAGUGUGCCAGAGGUCUAUGGCAGCGAUAGGGGUUACCUGGGAAUCUAGGGUUGGUAUUCGGUGUGAGUCUUGGUGAAAGUGCCCAGGGGAAAAGUUCCCCUGAAGACAGUGAGUCUAACAGUGGCCAAGUGGCACCUUCCUGCUGCCUGGCACACCUGUAAAGGUGAGCCAGGGUCACAGACAGGAGCUGGAGGAUGUCAGUCACAAACAAAUCAAAAUAGUGAAACAGAAAACAAGGGGCUGAUGCUGCACAGUUAAAACAUAUAUAUGUUAUAGAUCUUGAUAGAACUGGAAAGAAAAAAAAAAAAAAAAAAAAAAAAAAAAAAAAAAAGGCAGGAUCAACACUCCAGUCCCAUGGAAGCCGAGUGGCUUUCGUGGUGUGUUAACAACGGCACAGUCCAGGCUAAAGAGGGUGGUUUCAUGUUGAAUAAGGGGUAUUUU
This 3949-nucleotide long non-coding RNA is filed under the name Sus scrofa (pig). RNAcentral describes it as "lncRNA (ENSSSCG00035074187.1)". Lineage: Eukaryota; Metazoa; Chordata; Mammalia; Artiodactyla; Suidae. The record is from RNAcentral.